RNAcentral lists this ribosomal RNA (490 nucleotides) under uncultured bacterium. RNAcentral's name for it is "partial 16S ribosomal RNA". It matches the Rfam family "Bacterial small subunit ribosomal RNA", at positions 30 to 507 of the family's 1533-position model. The record is from RNAcentral.
AUUGAACGCUGGCGGCAGGCCUAACACAUGCAAGUCGAACGGUAACAGGAAGAAGCUUGCUUCUUUGCUGACGAGUGGCGGACGGGUGAGUAAUGUCUGGGAAACUGCCUGAUGGAGGGGGAUAACUACUGGAAACGGUAGCUAAUACCGCAUAAUGUCGCAAGACCAAAGAGGGGGACCUUCGGGCCUCUUGCCAUCGGAUGUGCCCAGAUGGGAUUAGCUAGUAGGUGGGGUAACGGCUCACCUAGGCGACGAUCCCUAGCUGGUCUGAGAGGAUGACCAGCCACACUGGAACUGAGACACGGUCCAGACUCCUACGGGAGGCAGCAGUGGGGAAUAUUGCACAAUGGGCGCAAGCCUGAUGCAGCUAUGCCGCGUGUAUGAAGAAGGCCUUCGGGUUGUAAAGUACUUUCAGCGGGGAGGAAGGGAGUAAAGUUAAUACCUUUGCUCAUUGACGUUACCCGCAGAAGAAGCACCGACUAACUCCGUG